AGGACUACUACAGUCAGGGAGUUGUUGCCUAUUACGAGCUACAGUAAGCAAUCACAGUAGGAGAUACUGACAUCCAUAGACGCAGUAAAGAACGCCGCAGGUAUUCUUGUAGAAAUACUGGAUCUGGAGCAAGUCCCUUUGGCCGCUGAAGACAUCUCAAACUAAGCAGGGCGUCAGAGGCAGCCUGGUGCCCCUUCCCAGUCCUCUUCGCUCCAAGUUCUGUAGCAACCGCAUCAAGCUUUCCCGGAACUCUCUCCUUGUUGAUACACUUGCCGUACUGUGAGAACAACUUGCAGUCACAUGAUGAAGGGAAAUAUUCUACGACUUGCAACAGGAAGUGGAGUCGAGUUUCUAGCAAUGGAUCCUUCGUUAGGAGAUUUAUCAUGAGUCGAAAAUCUUGAUAACCCAUAAAGGUAACCCAGGUGACAUUCUUGUUCUGCAGGAGACCGGACUCACGUAACAAGUUUUUGAACUCCGAGGCUGGAAGUCCCUUUGUCGCAUGCUCCUCUAAUAUCAGUUCACUCUCCCUCAGGAAUUUCACUCCACAGUGGUCACCAGAUCACCUAGUGGGGCCGAACAAGAGAUUUAAUUGGAACAUUGCACCUCCGAGCAAAUUGAACUCCGUAUUGGCAAUUCCGAUCCCAGCCUGCACAAGGUCUCCACCAUGCACAUAGGAUCGCAGCUGCAAAUAGACUAUCCUCCAACAAUUUAUAGUUAUACCGUAUACAUCCAAACAUCUCCAUUGGUUAGAUUUACCUGCAAAUCCAUAUUUGGUCUAUCUGUAAGCAUGAUCUGUCUACGGAUCUAUUAGUAAUUUGACUGAAAGAGAUUUCUCUAAAAAAGGAGUUGUGCUGCUCCUGGAUUGAGUUACGUGCUUUUUAUUGGGAUUUCUGGUCGUGGUGGUUUCCUUUUGGGACAAAGCUAUUCACAUCCCAUCUGAAAUUGACAUACUCAGGUAUUAAAUGUCACUAGAUUCUGCUUCAUGCUUCCAUUUCUCCUUGGGACAAAAAAGGUACAUUGAUGCAGUUUGAUUAAGCAGAGUAAUCUGACUUCAAAAAUAUUUUUCCUCUAUCAUUGUCCGACGAGAAAUGUUUUUGUCGCUAUCAUUGUCCUCCAAGCAAAUUUGUGCUGAUACAUUAUCCCAGUGUCAACACCUGCCUAAGACAAAACUGCAGAAUGUUGGUCGAGAUUUGGGCAGAGCGGUCGAGUCACACUGAAAGAGUAUGUAGCUCAAAAGUAUAAUGAGCAUCAGUCACGUAACUUCACAGAGCCAUUGCCAAUUAGCAAGCAUCAUUUCACAUGCACAGGACUACUACAGUCAGGGAGUUGUUGCCUAUUACGAGCUACAGUAAGCAAUCACAGUAGGAGAUACUGACAUCCAUAGACGCAGUAAAGAACGCCGCAGGUAUUCUUGUAGAAAUACUGGAUCUGGAGCAAGUCCCUUUGGCCGCUGAAGACAUCUCAAACUAAGCAGGGCGUCAGAGGCAGCCUGGUGCCUCUUCCCAGUCCUCUUCGCUCCAAGUUCUGUAGCAACCACAUCAAGCUUUCCUGGAACUCUCAACUUGUUGAUACACUUGCCGUACUGUGAGAACAACUUGCAGUCACAUGAUGAAGGGAAAUAUUCUACGACUUGCAACAGGAAGUGGAGUCGAGUUUCUAGCAAUGGAUCCUUCGUUAGGAGAUUUAUCAUGAGUCGAAAAUCUUGAUAACCCAUAAAGGUAACCCAGGUGACAUUCUUGUUCUGCAGGAGACCGGACUCACGUAACAUGUUCUUGAACUCCGAGGCUGGAAGUCCCUUUGUCGCAUGCUCCUCUAAUAUCAGUUCACUCUCCCUCAGGAAUUUCACUCCACAGUGGUCACCAGAUCUCCUAGUGGGGCCGAACAAGAGAUUUAAUUGGAAAAUUGCACCUCGGAGCAAAUUGAACUCCGUAUCGGCAAUAGAUCCCAGCCUGCACAAGAUCUCCACCAUGCACAUAGGAUCGCAGCUGCAAAUAGACUAUCCUCAAACAAUUGAUAGUUAUACCGUAUACAUCCAAACAUCUCCAUUGGUUAGAUUUACCUGCAAAUCCAUAUUUGGUCUAUCUGUAAGCAUGAUCUGUCUACGGAUCUAUUAGUAAUUUGACUGAAAGAGAUUUCUCUAAAAAAGGAGUUGUGCUGCUCCUGGAAUGAGUUACGUGCUUUUUAUUGGGAUUGCUGGUCGUGGUGGUUUCCUUUUGGGACAAAGCCAUUCACAUUCCAUUUGAAAUUGACAUACUCAGGUAUUAAAUGUCACUAGAUUCUGCUUCAUGCUUCCAUUUCUCCUUGGGACACAAAAGGUACAUUGAUGCAGUUUGAUUAAGCAGAGUAAUCUGACUUCAACAAUAUUUUUCCUCUAUCAUUGUCCGACGAGAAAUGUUUUUGUCGCUAUCAUUGUCCUCCAAGCAAAUUUGUGCUGAUACAUUAUCCCAGUGUCAACACCUGCCUAAGACAAAACUGCAGAAUGUUGGUCGAGAUUUGGGCAGAGCGGUCGAGUCACACUGAAAGAGUAUGUAGCUCAAAAGUAUAAUGAGCAUCAGUCACGUAGCUUCACAGAGCCAUUGCCAAUUAGCAAGCAUCAUUUCACAUGCACAGGACUACUACAGUCAGGGAGUUGUUGCCUAUUACGAGCUACAGUAAGCAAUCACAGUAGGAGAUACUGACAUCCAUAGACGCAGUAAAGAACGCCGCAGGUAUUCUUGUAGAAAUACUGGAUCUGGAGCAAGUCCCUUUGGCCGCUGAAGACAUCUCAAACUAAGCAGGGCGUCAGAGGCAGCCUGGUGCCCCUUCCCAGUCCUCUUCGCUCCAAGUUCUGUAGCAACCGCAUCAAGCUUUCCCGGAACUAUCUCCUUGUUGAUACACUUGCCGUACUUUGAGAACGACUUGCAGUCAAAUGAUGAAGGGAAAUACUCUACGACUUGCUACAGGAACUGGAGUCGUGUUUCUGGCAAUGGAUCCUUCGUUAGGAGAUUUAUAAUGAGUCCAAAAUCUUGAUAACCCACAAAGGUAACCCAGGUGACAUUCUUGUUCUGCAGGAGACCGGACUCACGUAACAUGUUCUUGAACUCCGAGGCUGGAAGUCCCUUUGUCGCAUGCUCCUCUAAUAUCAGUGCACUCUCCCUCAGGAAUUUCACUCCACAGUGGUCACCAGAUCUCCUAGUGGGGCCGAACAAGAGAUUUAAUUGGAACAUUGCACCUCCGAGCAAAUUGAACUCCGUAUUGGCAAUUCCGAUCCCAGCCUGCACAAGGUCUCCACCAUGCACAUAGGAUCGCAGCUGCAAAUAGACUAUCCUCCAACAAUUUAUAGUUAUACCGUAUACAUCCAAACAUCUCCAUUGGUUAGAUUUACCUGCAAAUCCAUAUUUGGUCUAUCUGUAAGCAUGAUCUGUCUACGGAUCUAUUAGUAAUUUGACUGAAAGAGAUUUCUCUAAAAAAGGAGUUGUGCUGCUCCUGGAUUGAGUUACGUGCUUUUUAUUGGGAUUUCUGGUCGUGGUGGUUUCCUUUUGGGACAAAGCUAUUCACAUCCCAUCUGAAAUUGACAUACUCAGGUAUUAAAUGUCACUAGAUUCUGCUUCAUGCUUCCAUUUCUCCUUGGGACAAAAAAGGUACAUUGAUGCAGUUUGAUUAAGCAGAGUAAUCUGACUUCAAAAAUAUUUUUCCUCUAUCAUUGUCCGACGAGAAAUGUUUUUGUCGCUAUCAUUGUCCUCCAAGCAAAUUUGUACUGAUACAUUAUCCCAGUGUCAACACCUGCCUAAGACAAAACUGCAGAAUGUUGGUCGAGAUUUGGGCAGAGCGGUCGAGUCACACUGAAAGAGUAUGUAGCUCAAAAGUAUAAUGAGCAUCAGUCACGUAGCUUCACAGAGCCAUUGCCAAUUAGCAAGCAUCAUUUCCACUGCACAGCACUACUACAGUCAGGGAGUUGUUUCCGAUUACGAGCUACAGUAAGCCAUCACAGUAGGAGAUGCUGACAUCCAUAGACGCCGUAAAGAACGCCGCAGGUAUUCUUGUAGAAAUACUGGAUCUGGAGCAAGUCCCUUUGGCCGCUGAAGACAUCUCAAACUAAGCAGGGUGUCAGAGGCAGCCUGGUGCCCCUUCCCAGUCCUCUUCGCUCCAAGUUCUGUAGCAACCGCAUAAAGCUUUCCCGGAACUCUCUCCUUGUUGAUACACUUGCCGUCCUUUGAGAACGACUUGCAGUCAAAUGAUGAAGGGAAAUACUCUACGACUUGCAAUAGGAACUGGAGUCGUGUUUCUGGCAAUGGAUCCUUCGUUAGGAGAUUUAUCAUGAGUUCAAAAUCUUGAUAACCCACAAAGGUAACCCAGGUGAUAUUCUUGUUCUGCAGGAGACCGGACUCACGUAACAUGUUCUUAAACUCCGAGGCUGGAAGUCCCUUUGUCGCAUGCUCCUCUAAUAUCAGUUCACUCUCCCUCAGGAAUUUCACUCCACAGUGGUCACCAGAUCUCCUAGUGGGGNNNNNNNNNNNNNNNNNNNNNNNNNNNNNNNNNNNNNNNNNNNNNNNNNNNNNNNNNNNNNNNNNNNNNNNNNNNNNNNNNNNNNNNNNNNNNNNNNNNNUCCGAGCAAAUUGAACUCCGUAUCGGCAAUAGAUCCCAGCCUGCACAAGAUCUCCACCAUGCACAUAGGAUCGCAGCUGCAAAUAGACUAUCCUCCAACAAUUUAUAGUUAUACCGUAUACAUCCAAACAUCUCCAUUGGUUAGAUUUACCUGCAAAUCCAUAUUUGGUCUAUCUGUAAGUAUGAUCUGUCUACGGAUCUAUUAGUAAUUUGACUGAAAGAGAUUUCUCUAAAAAAAGAGUUGUGCUGCUCCUGGAAUGAGUUACGUGCUUUUUAUUGGGAUUGCUGGUCGUGGUGGUUUCCUUUUGGGACAAAGCUAUUCACAUCCCAUCUGAAAUUGACAUACUCAGGUAUUAAAUGUCACUAGAUUCUGCUUCAUGCUUCCAUUUUUCCUUGGGACAAAAAAGGUACAUUGAUGCAGUUUGAUUAAGCAGAGUAAUCUGACUUCAACAAUAUUUUUCCUCUAUCAUUGUCCGACGACAAAUGUUUUUGUCGCUAUCAUUGUCCUCCAAGCAAAUUUGUGCUGAUACAUUAUCCCAGUGUCAACACCUGCCUAAGACAAAACUACAGAAUGUUGGUCGAGAUUUGGGCAGAGCGGUCGAGUCACACUGAAAGACUAUGUAGCUCAAAAGUAUAAUGAGCAUCAGUCACGUAGCUUCACAGAGCCAUUGCCAAUUAGCAAGCAUCAUUUCCACUGCACAGCACUACUACAGUCAGGGAGUUGUUGCCGAUUACAAGCUACAGUAAGCAAUCACAGUAGGAGAUGCUGACAUCCAUAGACGCCGUAAAGAACGCCGCAGGUAUUCUUGUAGAAAUACUGGAUCUGGAGCAAGUCCCUUUGGCCGCUGAAGACAUCUCAAACUAAGCAGGGCGUCAGAGGCAGCCUGGUGCCCCUUCCCAGUCCUCUUCGCUCCAAGUUCUGUAGCAACCGCAUCAAGCUUUCCCGGAACUCUCUCCUUGUUGAUACACUUGCCGUACUUUGAGAACGACUUGCAGUCAAAUGAUGAAGGGAAAUACUCUACGACUUGCAACAGGAACUGGAGUCGUGUUUCUGGCAAUGGAUCCUUCGUUAGGAGAUUUAUCAUGAGUUCAAAAUCUUGAUAACCCACAAAGGUAACCCAGGUGACAUUCUUGUUCUGCAGGAGACCGGACUCACGUAACAUGUUCUUGAACUCCGAGGCUGGAAGUCCCUUUGUCGCAUGCUCCUCUAAUAUCAGUGCACUCUCCCUCAGGAAUUUCACUCCACAGUGGUCACCAGAUCUCCUAGUGGGGCCGAACAAGAGAUUUAAUUGGAACAUUGCACCUCCGAGCAAAUUGAACUCCGUAUCGGCAAUUCCGAUCCCAGCCUGCACAAGGUCUCCACCAUGCACAUAGGAUCGCAGCUGCAAAUAGACUAUCCUCCAACAAUUUAUAGUUAUACCGUAUACAUCCAAACUUCUCCAUUGGUUAGAUUUACCUGCAAAUCCAUAUUUGGUCUAUCUGUAAGCAUGAUCUGUCUACGGAUCUAUUAGUAAUUUGACUGAAAGAGAUUUCUCUAAAAAAGGAGUUGUGCUGCUCCUGGAAUGAGUUACGUGCUUUUUAUUGGGAUUGCUGGUCGUGGUGGUUUCCUUUUGGGACAAAGCUAUUCACAUCCCAUCUGAAAUUGACAUACUCAGGUAUUAAAUGUCACUAGAUUCUGCUUCAUGCUUCCAUUUUUCCUUGGGACAAAAAAGGUACAUUGAUGCAGUUUGAUUAAGCAGAGUAAUCUGACUUCAACAAUAUUUUUCCUCUAUCAUUGUCCGACGACAAAUGUUUUUGUCGCUAUCAUUGUCCUCCAAGCAAAUUUGUGCUGAUACAUUAUCCCAGUGUCAACACCUGCCUAAGACAAAACUACAGAAUGUUGGUCGAGAUUUGGGCAGAGCGGUCGAGUCACACUGAAAGACUAUGUAGCUCAAAAGUAUAAUGAGCAUCAGUCACGUAGCUUCACAGAGCCAUUGCCAAUUAGCAAGCAUCAUUUCCACUGCACAGCACUACUACAGUCAGGGAGUUGUUGCCGAUUACAAGCUACAGUAAGCAAUCACAGUAGGAGAUGCUGACAUCCAUAGACGCCGUAAAGAACGCCGCAGGUAUUCUUGUAGAAAUACUGGAUCUGGAGCAAGUCCCUUUGGCCGCUGAAGACAUCUCAAACUAAGCAGGGCGUCAGAGGCAGCCUGGUGCCCCUUCCCAGUCCUCUUCGCUCCAAGUUCUGUAGCAACCGCAUAAAGCUUUCCCGGAACUCUCUCCUUGUUGAUACACUUGCCGUACUUUGAGAACGACUUGCAGUCAAAUGAUGAAGGGAAAUACUCUACGACUUGCAACAGGAACUGGAGUCGUGUUUCUGGCAAUGGAUCCUUCGUUAGGAGAUUUAUAAUGAGUCCAAAAUCUUGAUAACCCAUAAAGGUAACCCAGGUGACAUUCUUGUUCUGCAGGAGACCGGACUCACGUAACAUGUUCUUGAACUCCGAGGCUGGAAGUCCCUUUGUCGCAUGCUCCUCUAAUAUCAGUGCACUCUCCCUCAGGAAUUUCACUCCACAGUGGUCACCAGAUCUCCUAGUGGGGCCGAACAAGAGAUUUAAUUGGAACAUUGCACCUCCGAGCAAAUUGAACUCCGUAUCAGCAAUUCCGAUCCCAGCCUGCACAAGGUCUCCACCAUGCACAUAGGAUCGCAGCUGCAAAUAGACUAUCCUCCAACAAUUUAUAGUUAUA
This 7308-nucleotide long non-coding RNA is filed under the name Setaria italica (foxtail millet). RNAcentral describes it as "long non-coding RNA (SITA_LNC001928)". The record is from RNAcentral. Lineage: Eukaryota; Viridiplantae; Streptophyta; Magnoliopsida; Poales; Poaceae.